Non-coding RNA from Phrynosoma platyrhinos (Desert horned lizard), 73 nucleotides. The record is from the annotation of a GenBank genome assembly. NCBI's taxonomy places the organism in Eukaryota, Metazoa, Chordata, Lepidosauria, Squamata, Phrynosomatidae.
GCCAGUGUGGCAUAGUGCUUGGUGCGUUGGACUAGGACUCUGGGAGACCAGGAUUCGAAUCCUGGCUUGGCCA